This 337-nucleotide ribosomal RNA is filed under the name Mecoprosopus sp. YK34. RNAcentral describes it as "partial 12S rRNA". The record is from RNAcentral. Lineage: Eukaryota; Metazoa; Arthropoda; Insecta; Coleoptera; Chrysomelidae.
AUUAGUAUAUGCUAUGUUCUUGAAAAUUAAAAGAUUUGGCGGUAUUUUAGUCUAUUCAGAGGAACUUGUCCUGUAAUUGAUAAUCCACGAUUUAUUUUACUUUUAUUUUAAGCUUAUAUAUCGUCGUAUUUGAAAAUUUUUUAAAAAUUAUUAAUUUUCAAGAUUUUUUAUUAAAAUUUAAAUCAGAUCAAGAUGUAGUUUAUAUAAAAGGAGUGAUGAGUUACAUUAAUUAAAUUUGAAGAUUGAUUUUAGAAUAAUAUUAUGAAUAUGGAUUUGAUAGUAAUUUUAAUUAGAUAAUUAAGAUGAUUUUAGCUCUAAAAUAUGUACACAUCGCCCG